Transfer RNA from Gonium pectorale, 94 nucleotides. It matches the Rfam family "tRNA". Rfam says of the family: Transfer RNA (tRNA) molecules are approximately 80 nucleotides in length. Their secondary structure includes four short double-helical elements and three loops (D, anti-codon, and T loops). NCBI's taxonomy places the organism in Eukaryota, Viridiplantae, Chlorophyta, Chlorophyceae, Chlamydomonadales, Volvocaceae. The record is from Rfam.
UUCGCUAUAGUCUAGGCGGUUAGGAUACGAGAUUCUCACGUCCCUGGCGUAAGAGAAAGCUCUCGAGACCCGGGUUCGAGUCCCGGUAGCGAAA